RNAcentral lists this ribosomal RNA (660 nucleotides) under Schoenus pleiostemoneus. Its description in RNAcentral is "eukaryotic LSU rRNA". The stretch from base 244 to 398 matches the Rfam family "5.8S ribosomal RNA". Lineage: Eukaryota; Viridiplantae; Streptophyta; Magnoliopsida; Poales; Cyperaceae. The record is from RNAcentral.
AACAAGGUUUCCGUAGGUGAACCUGCGGAAGGAUCAUUGCCGCUUGCCCGAGAAAACACGACCCAUGUGAACGUAACCUAACCCACCGCUGCCGGGGAGGCCUCGCCUCGCCGGCCCACCGGACGCGGCCCUCGCCCGGGCCGCGCGUCGGGAAUACGGCGCGGACCGCGCCAAGGAACACGAUAUGCCGAGGCGGCCGGCGGAGCGUGCUCUGCCUGCCGCCGACGCGAAGCAAUACAUGAUGACUCUCGGCAACGGAUAUCUCGGCUCUCGCAUCGAUGAAGAACGUAGCGAAAUGCGAUACGUGGUGUGAAUUGCAGAAUCCCGCGAACCAUCGAGUCUUUGAACGCAAGUUGCGCCCGAGGGAUCCGCCCGAGGGCACGCCUGCCUGGGCGUUAGAAGCCCAUCCACGCUCGGCGCUGAGCCGAUGCGGAUCGUGGCCCUCCGAGCCCGAGCGGCGCGGUGGGCCUAAGUGCGCGGCCGCCGGGAGGAGCCGGGAGCGGCGAGUGGUGGAACGCUGCGUCCGCCGCCCCGCGCCCCUCUGCCGGCGCGUGGCCUUGACCGACCCAAGAACGAGGAGCCGUGCCCACAGCGUCUGGGCGCCUUCGGAUCGCUACCAAUCUAAUGAUACGACUCCCCUUCCUAGAUAGAAAAACCCCA